Echinops telfairi (small Madagascar hedgehog) is the source of this 131-nucleotide small nucleolar RNA. RefSeq annotates it as small nucleolar RNA SNORA51. The record is from RefSeq and is a predicted model, not a curated record. Lineage: Eukaryota; Metazoa; Chordata; Mammalia; Afrosoricida; Tenrecidae. The transcript has a single exon.
UGCCUCCUUGAGCGCACCACAGGCUGUGCUCUUGCACUGACUGAAUAGAAAAAGGAGGUGAAGUAAGGGCCCUGUCUACACCUCAACCCAAGCCCUGUGCCUGCUUUUGUGUUGUGAAUGGGACAACGUGG